Molecule: ribosomal RNA, 429 nt
Filed under: Pseudomonadota bacterium
Lineage: Bacteria; Pseudomonadati; Pseudomonadota
Description: Proteobacteria bacterium partial 16S ribosomal RNA
Rfam family: Bacterial small subunit ribosomal RNA
Source: RNAcentral
UGGGGAAUAUUGGACAAUGGGCGAAAGCCUGAUCCAGCCAUGCCGCGUGUGUGAAGAAGGUCUUCGGAUUGUAAAGCACUUUAAGUUGGGAGGAAGGGCAGUAAGCGAAUACCUUGCUGUUUUGACGUUACCGACAGAAUAAGCACCGGCUAACUCUGUGCCAGCAGCCGCGGUAAUACAGAGGGUGCAAGCGUUAAUCGGAAUUACUGGGCGUAAAGCGCGCGUAGGUGGUUCGUUAAGUUGAAUGUGAAAGCCCCGGGCUCAACCUGGGAACUGCAUCCAAAACUGGAGAGCUAGAGGAGGGCAGAGGGUGGUGGAAUUUCCUGUGUAGCGGGGAAAUGCGUAGAUAUAGGAAGGAACACCAGUGGCGAAGGCGACCACCUGGGCUCAUACUGACACUGAGGUGCGAAAGGGUGGGGAGCAAACAGG